GACGAACGCUGGCGGCGUGCUUAACACAUGCAAGUCGAACGGAAAGGCCCUGCUUUUGUGGGGUGCUCGAGUGGGGAACGGGUGAGUAACACGUGAGUAACCUGCCCUUGACUUUGGGAUAACUUCAGGAAACUGGGGCUAAUACCGGAUAGGAGCUCCUGCUGCAUGGUGGGGGUUGGAAAGUUUCGGCGGUUGGGGAUGGACUCGCGGCUUAUCAGCUUGUUGGUGGGGUAGUGGCUUACCAAGGCUUUGACGGGUAGCCGGCCUGAGAGGGUGACCGGCCACAUUGGGACUGAGAUACGGCCCAGACUCCUACGGGAGGCAGCAGUGGGGAAUAUUGCACAAUGGGCGGAAGCCUGAUGCAGCAACGCUGCGUGCGGGAUGACGGCCUUCGGGUUGUAAACCGCUUUCGCCUGUGACGAAGCGUGAGUGACGGUAAUGGGUAAAGAAGCACCGGCUAACUACGUG
Molecule: ribosomal RNA, 468 nt
Filed under: uncultured bacterium
Lineage: Bacteria
Description: partial 16S ribosomal RNA
Rfam family: Bacterial small subunit ribosomal RNA
Source: RNAcentral